GUGGCUAGGAAAAACUCCCUAGGAAAAACUCCCUAGAAAGGCCAAAAACCUAGGAAGAAACCUAGAGAGGAACCAGGCUAUGAGGGGUGGCCAGUCCUCUUCUGGCUGUGCAGGGUGGAUAUUAUAACAGAACAUGGUCAAGAUGUUAAAAUGUUAAAAUGUUCAUAAAUGACCAGCAUGGUCAAAUAAUAAUAAUCAUAGUAGUUGUCGAGGGUGCAACAAGCACGUCCGGUGAACAGGUCAGGGUUCCAUAGCUGCAGGCAGAACAGUUGGAACUGGAGCAGCAGCACGGCCAGGUGAACUGGGGACAGCAAGGAGUCAUCAAGCCAGGUAGUCCUGAGGCAUGGUCCUAGGGCUCAGGUCCUCCGAGAGAGAGAAAG
RNAcentral lists this long non-coding RNA (380 nucleotides) under Salmo salar (Atlantic salmon). RNAcentral describes it as "lncRNA (ENSSSAG00000082509.1)". The record is from RNAcentral. Lineage: Eukaryota; Metazoa; Chordata; Actinopteri; Salmoniformes; Salmonidae.